RNAcentral lists this ribosomal RNA (465 nucleotides) under Vreelandella stevensii. RNAcentral describes it as "partial 16S ribosomal RNA". It matches the Rfam family "Bacterial small subunit ribosomal RNA", at positions 338 to 795 of the family's 1533-position model. Lineage: Bacteria; Pseudomonadati; Pseudomonadota; Gammaproteobacteria; Oceanospirillales; Halomonadaceae. The record is from RNAcentral.
CCUACGGGCGGCAGCAGUGGGGAAUAUUGGACAAUGGGGGGAACCCUGAUCCAGCCAUGCCGCGUGUGUGAAGAAGGCCCUCGGGUUGUAAAGCACUUUCAGUGAGGAAGAACGCCUUGUGGUUAAUACCCAUCAGGAAAGACAUCACUCACAGAAGAAGCACCGGCUAACUCCGUGCCAGCAGCCGCGGUAAUACGGAGGGUGCGAGCGUUAAUCGGAAUUACUGGGCGUAAAGCGCGCGUAGGUGGCUUGAUAAGCCGGUUGUGAAAGCCCCGGGCUCAACCUGGGAACGGCAUCCGGAACUGUCAAGCUAGAGUGCAGGAGAGGAAGGUAGAAUUCCCGGUGUAGCGGUGAAAUGCGUAGAGAUCGGGAGGAAUACCAGUGGCGAAGGCGGCCCUCUGGACUGAGACUGACACUGAGGUGCGAAAGCGUGGGUAGCAAACAGGAUUAGAUACCCGGGUAGUC